CAACAGGUCACAUGGAUUUGCAACGACAUGGACAUAAGGGGGUCGGUGGAAUGAAAAUGUUUUGAGCUCUGUAGAAUAGAUAAGCAUAGUCGUAACAAGUGUCCACAUCGAAACUACUAUCCUGGACAAUCCUCAAGGUUAGGGUAUUCUAAAAUUUGAUGCCUAGUGUUCCAAUGUGUAUAAAUUUAUGUCUUAUAUUAAUUUUGAAAUUUAAUUAAUUCUUUAACACAA
RNAcentral lists this long non-coding RNA (231 nucleotides) under Gossypium barbadense (sea-island cotton). Its description in RNAcentral is "long non-coding RNA (GBAR_LNC006264)". Lineage: Eukaryota; Viridiplantae; Streptophyta; Magnoliopsida; Malvales; Malvaceae. The record is from RNAcentral.